This is a long non-coding RNA of Carassius auratus (goldfish), 2968 nucleotides long. The record is from Ensembl. NCBI's taxonomy places the organism in Eukaryota, Metazoa, Chordata, Actinopteri, Cypriniformes, Cyprinidae.
UUAAUAGUUGAUUGUUGAGAAUCACUCAGUCCCGCCCCCUCGUCUGCGUUUCAGUGGUUUCGUCCAAACUUGCUUUAGUUCUUCCAGUCCGAUGGGGUUUAUUCGAGUGCUUGUGAUCAUAGUGUAUUCACAGAUGGCCUGCCGAACAAGUUUUCAAUGAAUAUUAUAGGUCUUUACAGUCAAAUGCCCAAAUUCACGGCAAUUAUGGAUAUAAUUCGUUUGUUAUGGAUAAUACGGAUUGUGUGGGCUGUUGAAGCAGCCGUGUAUCCCAGAAAGCACCUGGGUUGGUGUGAUGUGUGUCCUGCUGCACUUCCUCGUCCCUGUCUAUUAGGACCAAGACCUGCCUCUGGCAUCUGCGACAUCUUUCUGAGCCUUGAGCCUACAUAAGCACGGCAAACCUGACCAGUUUCUGUCAUGCCAGACAGCGUCGGCUCUGUGGCCUGGCAGACAGAACAAGCUGUCUCUGAAUCAGUGAAUUUAUGUGUGAUGGGAAACUGGGAGUUUCCAUAUGGCCUCUGAUGAAAUGACAUGAUUUUGUCCACAGGCUUGUGAGGGGGUCAAAAUGGUGAAAUUAUCAGGUAUCCAAGAGGGACUUGCCAUCUGCUUGACAACUUAAUUAUCCAUCUGUCUUUCUGUCUUGUUGAGUGAUCAUUUUGAAUAAAAUGAGGUGAAAUGGAUUGUCCUCUUAAUGUUAAUUAUCAGCCAGUUUGAUGAGCGCCGUCAUAUUGAUUUAAAUUCAUGCUAUUUUUGAGUGCAGAGAUAAGGGUACAAAACAAAUUUGGUUCGUAAACACUCAGAAUCUCAUUUAACAAAAUGUCAGAGUGUCAGUUGCUAUCGAGGAGCAAUAUCUCUCGAACCACCACGCAUACGUGGGUCAUUUUAUUAAAUGGAGAGCACAAGCAGGGUAUAGUGGUCAAUGUGAGAGAGCAAUCCAUUUUAUGGAUGUUUUUAAGCACAAAGUAAUAAGAAGCACACAGGACAGGAUGAUAUUUCUGGAGUUUCUCUCCAAAGUUGAAAAGAAUUGUAAAGUAUUAAUACUGAAGUCCUCCAGUUUCCUCCAUAGUCGAUAAUUUGGCCGCAAGUUGGUACAAGUUGCAUUUUUGUGAAAGGAGAGAGUGCAUCUGCAUUAUAAUACAAGCACCUGCCUAUUCAUGUUUGCUAUUGAUGACGGUCAUUAGCAGAGAAAAACUGACCAAUCAGAACCAGCCAUUUCAGAGCACCAUGUAAUAAAGUUUGGUUAAACCAGUUAAUUUUAUUUAUUUAUUUAUGAACAUAUUGUUUUGACUGGAUCUAUUAAAUAAUUAAAAAAUACAGAAAGAAAUUGGGUUUAUGCAUACAGUGACAUGAAUAAACCACCAUGAUGAGCAUGCUUUUAAUAUCUUACAUUUUUGGAUGGCAGAAAGUAAAAAGGGUCAGGAGGAUACAGCUGUCCUUACUUUAUAAUGAAAAGAAAAUUAAGUUUGGCAAAAGUAAAAAAAAAAAAAAAAAAGAACAUUAAAUACAUUAAGUUUUUCGUCUUCUUUGCUGUGGACUUUUUAAUUUGACAUUAGCCCAAGUAGGCCUAACACUGAUAAAAUGAGUCUAGUAGCUUCAUGCACUUAUCUGAUAAAGAUUUAUUUGAGCAUGUGGCUUUAUUCUGCAUUAUUGUGUUGUUGUUUAUCUGAUGAAGAUCUAUUUGAGCACAUGACAUUGUGUUUGUGCUCAUAUGAUUAAAAUAUAUUGGAUCAUAUGGUACAUUAAGCAUUUCACACCAGUCAGAUCUGCAUGCUACUCAAGCUGGAAAGAUUUUCAUCUUGCUACUACAGAAAAAGCUAGUGUGUUUUUUUUUUUUUUUUUUAUGCCAGUCCAAACAGAAUGGAUAUACAGUACAAUAAGUGCAAUUAAAUUCAUUACCUGUACCUGAAAGGGUUCAAACCUGGCCUAGUCUCUACUCACGGGUGUCCAAUAGACUGUGUUCUAGAAUUGUAUUUUCUUUGUCGAAAACGAAUCUGUAAGUUGUUUUCAUUGACCCAUAAGCUUUACAUUCUGAAGUGAACUUAAUGAAAAGAGAAGAGAGAUCCCUGAGCUUAAGAAUCUCUAUUCAGGGUGAUUAAAAAUCAGAUGAAAAGUUAAUUUGCUCCCAUAGCCUGAAGCUGCUAAUUUACUCUGAAAUCCACCGAGGAUCUGAUUUGCGAAUGGUUUGUUCUUGAGUGAUCGUCAGUAUUCAGUCAAAGCCUUCUCAAACCGAACCGUUUGGAAUCAUUUUUAACCAUGUUCUGUAUUUGUUACUUAUUUUCAGAUAAUUGAUAUUCAUCUACUCCAUAAUCUUUUUAGAUGGAGAUAAUUUGCGUCUGGAUGUGACGUCUGUGUUCCAUGUAUAAUUUUGUUCUGUGUAAACUUCAUUAUGUGUUCUUUCAUUUUCAGGUAUUGAAUGUCCCAAAGCAAGCAAAAAUGAGUAUGAAUGGACAUCCCAGAUAAUGAGCUGAUAUUGCAUAAUCAUAAUAUCCUCAAUAGUUACAGAUGCAGAUGCAGUCAAUCCACUGCGUCUUUGCCAUCAGAGCAGAAGUGCUCUUAUUCCACGGAGAGCUGACAUAAAAUAUUGAAAUUCAAAAAGCUCAUGACCUACUUGCUCACUAUUCUCAAUUUCAAAACUAUCUGAAAGCACAAGGGUAUGUGUUUGGUUGAAUAUCAUUUGAUUUCUCAGUGUAUACGUUAGUGUUUUUGAUGCAUAGUCAUAGUCUUGUGAUGCUUCUUAACAUCCACCUCCUCAUACAUUAGUCAUGCAGACUGUAUUUGCAUUUAGUGUAUUUAUGGAGUAGAUUUUUUUAAGGUAAUGUAUUUGCCAUUAGUAAUUCAUGAAUGUACUCUUUCUGUACCUUCAUUUGGGCCCUUUUCUGCACCUUUGAUUUAAUCAUUGUUUGUCUGACAUGAAUACACAUAACUGUUCAAAAGUUUUUGGUCAGUGAGUUUUUUUUUUUCUUUUUCUUUU